RNAcentral lists this ribosomal RNA (465 nucleotides) under Vreelandella stevensii. RNAcentral's name for it is "partial 16S ribosomal RNA". It matches the Rfam family "Bacterial small subunit ribosomal RNA", at positions 338 to 795 of the family's 1533-position model. Lineage: Bacteria; Pseudomonadati; Pseudomonadota; Gammaproteobacteria; Oceanospirillales; Halomonadaceae. The record is from RNAcentral.
CCUACUGGAGGCUGCAGUGGGGAAUAUUGGACAAUGGGGGGAACCCUGAUCCAGCCAUGCCGCGUGUGUGAAGAAGGCCCUCGGGUUGUAAAGCACUUUCAGUGAGGAAGAACGCCUGGUGGUUAAUACCCAUCAGGAAAGACAUCACUCACAGAAGAAGCACCGGCUAACUCCGUGCCAGCAGCCGCGGUAAUACGGAGGGUGCGAGCGUUAAUCGGAAUUACUGGGCGUAAAGCGCGCGUAGGUGGCUUGAUAAGCCGGUUGUGAAAGCCCCGGGCUCAACCUGGGAACGGCAUCCGGAACUGUCAAGCUAGAGUGCAGGAGAGGAAGGUAGAAUUCCCGGUGUAGCGGUGAAAUGCGUAGAGAUCGGGAGGAAUACCAGUGGCGAAGGCGGCCUUCUGGACUGACACUGACACUGAGGUGCGAAAGCGUGGGUAGCAAACAGGAUUAGAUACCCCUGUAGUC